UUAACACCAUUUCCCAUACAAUCACUGAGGUUAUGCAACGUUGAGCCUGGUCAGCACUUAGAUGGGUGACCGCUUGGGAAUAGCAGGUGUUGUAAG
This is a non-coding RNA of Acanthosepion pharaonis, 96 nucleotides long. NCBI's taxonomy places the organism in Eukaryota, Metazoa, Mollusca, Cephalopoda, Sepiida, Sepiidae. The record is from the annotation of a GenBank genome assembly.